GUGCUCACUUCAGCAGCACAUAUACUAAAUUUGGAACAAUACAGAGAAGAUUAGCAUGGCCCCUGCGCAAGGAUGAUACCCAAAUUUGUGAAACAUCUAUCAUUCAU
Small nuclear RNA from Myotis lucifugus (little brown bat), 107 nucleotides. NCBI's taxonomy places the organism in Eukaryota, Metazoa, Chordata, Mammalia, Chiroptera, Vespertilionidae. The record is from Ensembl.